GCCGCCAUAGCUCAGUGGAUAGAUCACUGGUCUAGUAAACCAGGGAUCGGGAGUUCGAUCCUCCCUGGAGGCA
Molecule: transfer RNA, 73 nt
Filed under: Schistosoma margrebowiei
Lineage: Eukaryota; Metazoa; Platyhelminthes; Trematoda; Strigeidida; Schistosomatidae
Rfam family: tRNA
About the family: Transfer RNA (tRNA) molecules are approximately 80 nucleotides in length. Their secondary structure includes four short double-helical elements and three loops (D, anti-codon, and T loops). Further hydrogen bonds mediate the characteristic L-shaped molecular structure. tRNAs have two regions of fundamental functional importance: the anti-codon, which is responsible for specific mRNA codon recognition, and the 3' end, to which the tRNAs corresponding amino acid is attached (by aminoacyl-tRNA synthetases). tRNAs cope with the degeneracy of the genetic code in two manners: having more than one tRNA (with a specific anti-codon) for a particular amino acid; and 'wobble' base-pairing, i.e. permitting non-standard base-pairing at the 3rd anti-codon position.
Source: Rfam by way of RNAcentral